GUUCGGAUUGAAGGCUGAAAUUCGCCUUCAUGAAGCCGGAAUUGCUAGUAAUGGCAGGUCAGCAUACUGCCGUGAAUACGUUCCCGGGCCUUGUACACACCGCCCGUCACACCAUGAGAGUUGGGAAUACCCGAAGCCUGUGAGCUAACUUUUAGAGGCAGCAGUCGAAGGUAGAAUCAAUGAUUGGGGUGAAGUCGUAACAAGGUAGC
RNAcentral lists this ribosomal RNA (209 nucleotides) under uncultured bacterium. RNAcentral's name for it is "partial 16S ribosomal RNA". It matches the Rfam family "Bacterial small subunit ribosomal RNA", at positions 1291 to 1500 of the family's 1533-position model. The record is from RNAcentral.